RNAcentral lists this ribosomal RNA (866 nucleotides) under uncultured Porphyromonas sp. RNAcentral's name for it is "bacterial SSU rRNA". It matches the Rfam family "Bacterial small subunit ribosomal RNA", at positions 61 to 919 of the family's 1533-position model. The record is from RNAcentral. Lineage: Bacteria; Pseudomonadati; Bacteroidota; Bacteroidia; Bacteroidales; Porphyromonadaceae.
GUCGAGGGGCAGCAUGGUCUUAGCUUGCUAAGACUGAUGGCGACCGGCGCACGGGUGCGUAACGCGUAUGCAACUUGCCUCACAGAGGGGGAUAACCCGUCGAAAGACGGACUAAUACCGCGUACACUUAUUGGAGGGCAUCCUUUGAUAAGGAAAUGAAUUUCGCUGUGAGAUAGGCAUGCGUCCCAUUAGCUAGUUGGUGAGGUAACGGCUCACCAAGGCGACGAUGGGUAGGGGAACUGAGAGGUUGAACCCCCACACUGGUACUGAGACACGGACCAGACUCCUACGGGAGGCAGCAGUGAGGAAUAUUGGUCAAUGGGCGCGAGCCUGAACCAGCCAAGUCGCGUGAAGGAUGACUGUCUUAUGGAUUGUAAACUUCUUUUAUACGGGAAUAACAAGAGCUACGUGUAGCUUCCUGCAUGUACCGUAUGAAUAAGCAUCGGCUAACUCCGUGCCAGCAGCCGCGGUAAUACGGAGGAUGCGAGCGUUAUCCGGAUUUAUUGGGUUUAAAGGGUGCGUAGGCGGCCUGUUAAGUCAGCGGUGAAAUCUAGGAGCUUAACUCCUAAAUUGCCAUUGAAACUGGCGGGCUUGAGUGUAGAUGAGGUAGGCGGAAUGCGUGGUGUAGCGGUGGAAUGCAUAGAUAUCACGCAGAACUCCGAUUGCGAAGGCAGCUUACUAAGGUACAACUGACGCUGAAGCACGAAAGCGUGGGUAUCAAACAGGAUUAGAUACCCUGGUAGUCCACGCAGUAAACGAUGAUAACUGGGCGUAUGCGAUAUACAGUAUGCUCCUAAGCGAAAGCGUUAAGUUAUCCACCUGGGGAGUACGCCGGCAACGGUGAAACUCAAAGGAAUUGACGGGGG